UACGGGGGGAGCAAGCGUUGUUCGGAUUUACUGGGCGUAAAGGGCGCGUAGGCGGCGCAACAAGUCACUUGUGAAAUCUCCGGGCUUAACUCGGAACGGUCAAGUGAUACUGUUGUGCUAGAGUGCGGAAGGGGCAACUGGAAUUCUCGGUGUAGCGGUGAAAUGCGUAGAUAUCGAGAGGAACACCUGCGGCGAAGGCGGGUUGCUGGGCUGACACUGACGCUGAUGCGCGAAAGCCAGGGGAGCGAACAGG
RNAcentral lists this ribosomal RNA (253 nucleotides) under uncultured bacterium. Its description in RNAcentral is "partial 16S ribosomal RNA". It matches the Rfam family "Bacterial small subunit ribosomal RNA", at positions 524 to 776 of the family's 1533-position model. The record is from RNAcentral.